This 20-nucleotide microRNA is filed under the name Echinococcus granulosus. RNAcentral's name for it is "egr-miR-124b-3p". Its record names the gene egr-miR-124b-3p. RNAcentral also lists the same sequence under 2 other names. Lineage: Eukaryota; Metazoa; Platyhelminthes; Cestoda; Cyclophyllidea; Taeniidae. The record is from miRBase by way of RNAcentral.
UAAGGCACGCGGUGAAUACC